This 1267-nucleotide ribosomal RNA is filed under the name Microbacterium sp. S35. RNAcentral describes it as "bacterial SSU rRNA". It matches the Rfam family "Bacterial small subunit ribosomal RNA", at positions 115 to 1393 of the family's 1533-position model. The record is from RNAcentral. Lineage: Bacteria; Bacillati; Actinomycetota; Actinomycetes; Micrococcales; Microbacteriaceae.
ACGUGAGCAACCUGCCCCUGACUCUGGGAUAAGCGCUGGAAACGGUGUCUAAUACUGGAUAUGUCCCAUCACCGCAUGGUGUGUGGGUGGAAAGAUUUUUCGGUUGGGGAUGGGCUCGCGGCCUAUCAGCUUGUUGGUGAGGUAAUGGCUCACCAAGGCGUCGACGGGUAGCCGGCCUGAGAGGGUGACCGGCCACACUGGGACUGAGACACGGCCCAGACUCCUACGGGAGGCAGCAGUGGGGAAUAUUGCACAAUGGGCGGAAGCCUGAUGCAGCAACGCCGCGUGAGGGAUGACGGCCUUCGGGUUGUAAACCUCUUUUAGCAGGGAAGAAGCGAGAGUGACGGUACCUGCAGAAAAAGCACCGGCUAACUACGUGCCAGCAGCCGCGGUAAUACGUAGGGUGCAAGCGUUAUCCGGAAUUAUUGGGCGUAAAGAGCUCGUAGGCGGUUUGUCGCGUCUGCUGUGAAAUUCCGAGGCUCAACCUCGGGCUUGCAGUGGGUACGGGCAGACUAGAGUGCGGUAGGGGAGAUUGGAAUUCCUGGUGUAGCGGUGGAAUGCGCAGAUAUCAGGAGGAACACCGAUGGCGAAGGCAGAUCUCUGGGCCGUAACUGACGCUGAGGAGCGAAAGGGUGGGGAGCAAACAGGCUUAGAUACCCUGGUAGUCCACCCCGUAAACGUUGGGAACUAGUUGUGGGGUCCUUUCCACGGAUUCCGUGACGCAGCUAACGCAUUAAGUUCCCCGCCUGGGGAGUACGGCCGCAAGGCUAAAACUCAAAGGAAUUGACGGGGACCCGCACAAGCGGCGGAGCAUGCGGAUUAAUUCGAUGCAACGCGAAGAACCUUACCAAGGCUUGACAUACACCAGAACACCCUGGAAACAGGGGACUCUUUGGACACUGGUGAACAGGUGGUGCAUGGUUGUCGUCAGCUCGUGUCGUGAGAUGUUGGGUUAAGUCCCGCAACGAGCGCAACCCUCGUUCUAUGUUGCCAGCACGUUAUGGUGGGAACUCAUGGGAUACUGCCGGGGUCAACUCGGAGGAAGGUGGGGAUGACGUCAAAUCAUCAUGCCCCUUAUGUCUUGGGCUUCACGCAUGCUACAAUGGCCGGUACAAUGGGCUGCGAUACCGUAAGGUGGAGCGAAUCCCAAAAAGCCGGUCCCAGUUCGGAUUGAGGUCUGCAACUCGACCUCAUGAAGUCGGAGUCGCUAGUAAUCGCAGAUCAGCAACGCUGCGGUGAAUACGUUCCCGGGUCUUGUACACACCGC